Molecule: ribosomal RNA, 468 nt
Filed under: uncultured bacterium
Lineage: Bacteria
Description: partial 16S ribosomal RNA
Rfam family: Bacterial small subunit ribosomal RNA
Source: RNAcentral
GACGAACGCUGGCGGCGUGCUUAACACAUGCAAGUCGAACGGAAAGGCCCUGCUUUUGUGGGGUGCUCGAGUGGCGAACGGGUGAGUAACACGUGAGUAACCUGCCCUUGACUUUGGGAAAACUUCAGGAAACUGGGGCUAAUACCGGAUAGGAGCUUCUGCUGCAUGGUGGGGGUUGGAAAGUUUCGGCGGUUGGGGAUGGACUCGCGGCUUAUCAGCUUGUUGGUUGGGUAGUGGUCUACCAAGGCUUUGACGGGUAGCCGGCCUGAGAGGGUGACCAGCCACAUUGGCACAGAGAUGCAGCCCAGACUCCUACCCGAGACAGCAGUGGUGACUAUUGCACAAUCGGCGCAAGCCUGAUGCAGCAACGCCGCGUGCGGGAUGACGACCUUCGGGUUGUAAACCGCUUUCGCCUGUGACGAAGCGUGCGUGACGGUAAUGGGUAAAGAAGCACCGGCUAACUACGUG